GAUGAACGCUGGCGGCGUGCCUAAUACAUGCAAGUCGAGCGAACGGACGAGAAGCUUGCUUCUCUGAUGUUAGCGGCGGACGGGUGAGUAACACGUGGAUAACCUACCUAUAAGACUGGGAUAACUUCGGGAAACCGUAGCUAAUACCGGAUAAUAUUUUGAACCGCAUGGUUCAAAAGUGAAAGACGGUCUUGCUGUCACUUAUAGAUGGAUCCGCGCUGCAUUAGCUAGUUGGUAAGGUAACGGCUUACCAAGGCAACGAUGCAUAGCCGACCUGAGAGGGUGAUCGGCCACACUGGAACUGAGACACGGUCCAGACUCCUACGGGAGGCAGCAGUAGGGAAUCUUCCGCAAUGGGCGAAAACCUGACGGAGCAACGCCGCGUGAGUGAUGAAGGUCUUCGGAUCGUAAAACUCUGUUAUUAGGGAAGAACAUAUGUGUAAGUAACUGUGCACAUCUUGACGGUACCUAAUCAGAAAGCCCCGGCUAACUACGUG
Molecule: ribosomal RNA, 497 nt
Filed under: uncultured bacterium
Lineage: Bacteria
Description: partial 16S ribosomal RNA
Rfam family: Bacterial small subunit ribosomal RNA
Source: RNAcentral